GUAGGGUGGAAAGGUGUGUGCAGAAAAAUGCAACGUCCCGAGUGCAUCAGAGAGUGUGAUUGUGUAGUUUCGGUGCAGAAUACAGUUUCAGAGUGAGGAGAAUGACCAGGUCCGUGACGGGUAGGCUGGCUAAUAAGCGAAAGCAGAACGAUAAAGAAACAGAACGAUAACGAAAGAAGGUAGAUGGAGAAACCGAUGAAGAAUGGGAACAAGAAGUCGAUGAAGGGCAAGUGGUGGGUACCUUUGAUGUUGUACAGAAGUUACCCUCCAGUGUAACACAUGUUACAAACAUGUGUUAC
RNAcentral lists this long non-coding RNA (299 nucleotides) under Helianthus annuus (common sunflower). RNAcentral describes it as "sRNA HanXRQr2_Chr04g0154181". The record is from RNAcentral. Lineage: Eukaryota; Viridiplantae; Streptophyta; Magnoliopsida; Asterales; Asteraceae.